UUCUUGCUCACAUUCUUCUUGUGUUCAAAGUUCUUAACAAGAUAGUGUUUGAUUUUCUCAGCAAUUUUAACUCGGAGGUUAACUGUGUUCGAUUUUCUUGUCGCUGCGGUGGAAUUGUGGUGGGAGAAAGAGGGGAGAGGUAGAGGUGAUUUGUGCUCCAUUUUGAUUUACUAUUGGGUUCGUCAUCAGCCUGGAGAGUUUUGCAAGGGUUGUAUUUCAUAAAGACUGAGGCAGGAAAACCAUUUUUGAUUAAGUUGGCAUGCCAAGUUCUCGAAAUGGGUGCAAUUCCGCAGCUGGAGGGGCUACUACACUUCCAGCAACUACAACAACUGUCUGCCCCUUUUCAUUUGGGAUUCCGGUCUCUCAGUUUUCGCAAUUCAAAGCCCAGGCUCUUCAAUUGCUAGCUGCUAAAGCAAAUAAGCAGAGUUGAGAAUUUUAGAAGAAAAUGGUGCAAAUUUAGAACAAUUUAGAGUUUUCGACAAGGAGACGAAAAGUCAACAGUUGUCAACCAUGAUCAACAUGAGUGAGGAGGCCGAAUUCGAGUAUUUCAAGAUGAUGUCUUCCACUAUGCUUUAAGACCGGAGAAGGAAGAAAAAGAAUGAAGAAAAGAAACUAUUAAUUGAUUAAUUAGUGGCUUAAUUAAUUGAUGAUUGGCUUAAUUAAUUAACCCAUGAUUUGAUUAAUUAACCAUGAUUUGAUUAAUUAAUCCCAGCCAUGACGUGCAAGCAUCAUUGAUUUUGCUUAAUUGCUUUGAGCUAAUUGCAUGGGACACGUGGCAGCCAUCACGAAAUAUCCUUUUUUCCCUUCCUCAUGCACCCUACAGGCCUACACGUGCAAACUUUAUCUCACUCUCUCCUUACAAUCACAACCAGCCACACCCAUAUAUAUGGAUAAUCACUCUCUUCCAGAACAGUGCUGACCUGAGACACCUACAGUUGCCGCACCACCCCUAAAACAGAGGCAGCCCUUUUGGGCUGCUCUCUCUCUCUCUCUCCUCCAUCAUUUUUUUUAAUUUUCUUUAGUUUUAUUUUAGGGAUUUGAAGGAUUUACUCACCCAAAGCUUCAAAGAAUUCAUCAAGGGCUCAAUCUCCACAAGAUUUAAGAUUUGGGUAUUAUGUGGGAGUUAUAAUUCAAGAGUAGUCAUGUUGGCUUCCUAGCUAUUUGUGACUAUCCUUGUCUUCUCCUACACUUCUCUACUCUUUUCCCUUUGAAUUUUGUAUCUUUGAUGUUCAUAAUUAUGGGUUGUGAGUA
Molecule: long non-coding RNA, 1251 nt
Organism: Rosa chinensis
Lineage: Eukaryota; Viridiplantae; Streptophyta; Magnoliopsida; Rosales; Rosaceae
Exons: 4
Source: RefSeq, a predicted model, not a curated record